RNAcentral lists this ribosomal RNA (470 nucleotides) under Tamolanica tamolana. RNAcentral's name for it is "partial 16S ribosomal RNA". It matches the Rfam family "Bacterial large subunit ribosomal RNA", at positions 1922 to 2602 of the family's 2925-position model. The record is from RNAcentral. Lineage: Eukaryota; Metazoa; Arthropoda; Insecta; Mantodea; Mantidae.
UUUGAAGGGCCGCAGUAUAUUGACUGUGCAAAGGUAGCAUAAUCAUUAGUCUUUUAAUUGAAGGCUGGUAUGAAUGGUUGGAUGAGGUAAAUUCUGUUUUAUGUUAAUUUGUGUUGAAUUUAGAUUUUAAGUAAAAAGACUUAGAUGAUAUUAAGGGACGAGAAGACCCUAUAGAGUUUAAUAAAUGUAUUAAUUAGUUGAGUUAUGAAUGUAAUUUUUUAUUAUUAUAAAAUUUAUUUAAUUGGGGUGAUUGAAAGAUAAAUGUAACUCUUUUUUAUAUUUAAUAUUUUGAUUAGUUAUUUGAUCCAUAUUUAAUGAUUAAAAGAUUAAAUUACCUUAGGGAUAACAGCAUAAUUCUUUUUGAGAGUUCUUAUCGAGAAGGGAGAUUGUGACCUCGAUGUUGGAUUAAGAUUAGUUUUGGGUGUAGAUGUUCAAGAACUAGGUCUGUUCGACCUUAGAAAUCUUACAUG